This 4385-nucleotide long non-coding RNA is filed under the name Papio anubis (olive baboon). RNAcentral describes it as "lncRNA (ENSPANG00000049200.1)". The record is from RNAcentral. Lineage: Eukaryota; Metazoa; Chordata; Mammalia; Primates; Cercopithecidae.
CACCAAUGUGAGCAAGCCUGAUUCAAUCUGUGGUAUUCAAUUUGAAUGGAACAAAAAGGCUGAGCAAGAGAGAAUUUGCUUUCUCUACCUUAUGGUCUUUGAGCUGGGACAUUGGGCUUCUGUCUUUGGACAUUGACUGGAACUUACAUGAUCAGCUCUAUUGGUUCUCAAGUUUUCAGACUGCAGAUUUGGGGAAUUCUCAGCCUCUAUAAUUGUGUGAGCCAAUUCCUUAUAAUAAUCUCCCCUUUAUAUAUCUACAUCUAUUAUUUAUUUAUUUAUUUAUUGCUACUAGCAGGAUCAACCAGGUAAAUAUCUAUCUAUGUAUCUAUGUAUCUAUCUAUCCACCUAUCUAUUCAUCCAUCUACCUUAUUGUUCCUGUUUCUUUGCAGAAUCCUAAUAUUUGCAUUAAUGAUAAGAUGUUUUGUUUUAGUUUUCUUCUCCUUGUGUAAUUGCAUAAUUCAUUUUCUCCAAGUUUCUUUUUUCUAUUUGCACAUUUUAGUUUCUAGUGAUUCAUGUUAGUUUUCCUCAGAUGCCGCAGGUGAUCCUUGGUAGUUUGCUCCUAUUUAAGCUGAUUGGAAGCUUUGACAGUGCAAGGAAGGAUUUAUAGAGUGUUGCAGUUGGAUGGUUUCAUUGGAGGAACUCUUGAGGUCUAUACCUUUAUGUCUUUACUUGUCAGUUGAUCGGAUUCCUCAGAUGUGUGUCCUUUCCCAACUCUGUCUGGAAGGGUGCAAGCCAGGCUGCCAAUGUUCUAGGAGCAGAGGCGGAAGAAGGCAAGAGUUUCUGCCUCUAGUGCUUAUACCUAAUCCUGUUUUUCCUUCCUUCCUUCCUUCCUUCCUUCCCUUCCUUUAUUUCUUCCUUCUUCCUUCCUUCCUUCCUUCCUCCCUCCCUUCCUUCCUCCCUCCUCCUCCCUCCCUCCCCCUUCCUUCCUUCCUUCCUUCCUUCCUUCCCUUCCUUCCCUUCUUUCGCUGCUUCUUCCUUCCCUUCCCUCCCUCCCUCCUUCCUUCUCUCUCUCUCUCUCUGUCUGUCCUGUCUCUCUCUCUCUUUCUUUCUUUCUUCCUCUUUCUUUCUUUCUCAUGGAGUCUCUGUUGCCCAGGCUGGAGUGCAGUGGCACGAUCUUGGCUCACUGCAACCUCUGCCUCCCAGGUUCAAGUGAUUCUUCCGGGAGGCGGAGCUUGCAGUGAGCUGAGAUCCGGCCACUGCACUCCAGCCCGGGCGACAGAGCGAGACUCCGUCUCAAAAAAAAAAAAAAAAAAAAAAAAAAAGUGAAAGGCUAUUAAUUUCCUAGACUCCUUUAGAGCUGGAGUUCUGAGUCCAUCAAGGAAACUCACUUGGGGGUUUGGAAGGCAGAAACAAGGUGGGGGCCACAGGUCUGCUAUUCUCUGUCAUUCUCCUGGCAGGUACGCAUGUGAAGACAAUGGAGUUCUGUGACAGAAGUGGGAAGAGUCCCACUGUCUGGUUCUUAGCUUUGUGGGUGUCAGGAACGAUGUGAUCCUAGUAUUUCCUGAUUCUCCAACUUAUUGUAGUGACAGAAGCAGCAGCUCCCUCAUGGGCCACUUCUGCCAUCUUGUUCUGGGGAGUCAUUCUUGGAAGGUCACCCUAGGGCUCUUCCUACAGCACCUAAAACAUUUUUUUAAGUACAUAAUUCUCUUGUCAAGGGAUCAUGUGGUUAAAUUAGCCCUAGUGGUUUCUGCAACUGAACCCUGAUGGAUAGACCCUAGAAACACGCCUUCCUCUCACAUCUCCAUGCUCUCUCAACCCAGGCUGGUGACUGUAAUGCUAGCUGGAAAAUUCUGCCUUUGAAUCCUGUAGAUGCUUAUCAACAUUGGGAACAUAUAACCCAGUGCAGGACAUGCUCAACCACUUAUAGAUCUGACAAUAUACUUAGAAGUUUUCGGCCGGGCACGGUGGCUCACGCCUGUAAUCCCAGCACUUUGGGAGGCCGAGGCGGGCGGAUCACAAGGUCAGGAGAUCGAGACCACGGUGAAACCCCGUCUCUACUAAAAAUACAAAAAAUUAGCCAGUCACGGUAGUGGGUGCCUGUAGUCCCAGCUACUCAGGAGGCUGAGGCAGGAUAAUGGCAUGAACCCGGGAGGCGAAGCUGGCAGUGAGCCAAGAUCGCGCCACUGCACUCCAGCCUGGGGGACACAGCAAGACUCCGUCUCAAAAAAAAAAAAAAAAAAAAGAAGUUUUCUCCUGGUAAAAAGCUUUGACUGUGUGGAAAAAAAUAAAGAAACAAAAAAGACUACGGGUGUAGUGGGCACCUUUUUAGAGGAGUUGCCACCACAGGAGAGAACCAGGUACUGAGCCGGAAGAGAAAUGUUGCUACCUCUCUGCUUUUACCCCACACCUUCCCCUGAUGACGAUGGCGUUUGGUUUUAGAGCAGAGUGGCACCAUCAGGGAAACCAAGUAACCGGGAAAGUGGAUGGAAAAGUCACUCAUCCCAACCAUCCUCCUUGCCUGAAUCUGCAGCCAUGAUGCAAAUUUUCCAAAAUGCUCUGUUUAGCAAGAGUUGGCUGGAAGUUCUAAAGAAAAAAAAAAACCCUAAUAGUAUUUUUGUUCUCAUCCUAAGUGUUCUUGCAGGGGAAGUAUUUUUUUUUAAUUUAAAAAUAAAAUGUAGUUAUUUUUAUUUAAGACAAUUCCCCAUCUUGAACACAUUUACAUUUUUUUCUUUCCCCAUUUACAGCCUAUUUCCUGAAAAAUGUUGAGAAGAUUUAAGUGUCUAAUAUUUUCCAAGGCCAUCUCAUGAUUCAUCAGUUUAUUGUUUGUUAAGUAUCAGACUCAAGAAACUGACUUAGAUGGGAAUGUUGGUCUGGAUUUUCUCCUCUGAUUUACUUCACAGAUGACGGGAGAAUGAAUUAAAAGAUUAAAAAGUCAACAUUUUGCUGAGUCCUUUGAAUAACAAAGAGGUCCUGUAAGAACCAAAUGAAGCUAAAUAGGCAAUCUUUGUCCUAUGAUACAGCAUCAAAUAUUAACAGAAUUUGUGACGGGAGGGAGGGGGCGGGCUCGGUAGCUCAUGCUUGUAAUCCCAGCACUUUGGGAGGCCAAGGUGGAUGGAUCACGUGACGUUGGGAGUUCACGACCAGCCUGACCAACAUGGAAAAACCCUGUCUCUACUAAAAAUACAAUAUUGGCAGGGCGUGGUGACGCAUGCCUGUAAUCGCAGCUACUUGGGAGGCCGAGGCAGGAGAAUUGCUUGAACCUAGGAGGCAGAGGUCGCAGUGAACUGAGAUCGAGCCAUUGUACUCCAGCCUGGGCAAUAAGAGUGAAACUCCAUCUCAAAAAAGAAAAAAAAAAAGGAUUUGUGACCAAAAGGGCCUUGGACCUGUCACCUAAUUUCACAGAAGAAGAAACUGAGCCCUAAAGAAGGGAAAUGACUAACUCAGGAUCGCCAGUGACCAGUGGCAGAGCUGGGAGUAGAAUUCAGAUCUCCUGAGAUUCACCCUCUGGUGCUUUCUCUCCUGUCUUGCUUAUUUUCAUAUGUACCCUUUUUUAUCACACUUCCCUUUCCUGCUUCCCAGGCUUUUGAUCACACUUCUACUUUCCUGCUUUUCAGCCUGAGUAUGUCUACUUAUGAGAAAUACAGAGAUCAUUUAAGGAACUGCGAAUUUCCUUCUCACUUCGAGCUCCAUCGAAGUCAGGACUCCCAUUCACAUGGGACAGAUGAGAAAGAAAAAAGUUCAGAGGGGAGUUUCACUUGCCAGAGUCCACACAGCUACGGUUAGACCUCAGACCUCCUGAACAACAAAGCCGACGUCCGUCCCAACACAUUAAAAUAGGUGGGCUGGUACAUUACAUGAAUGUACUGUUCUUUUGUUUAAAGAAGUGUAUGGGAAUCAGAAUUUGGUCUAAUUAAAGGCCAUUGGGGGUGGAUUAAUGAAGUACAAAAAGGGCCUCAUUAAAAGAAGCUGUCCUCUAAAAGGCAAGCCAAUGGCAGUUACCUUUCCAAAGUGAACAUUAGAAAGUGGUUCCUGUGUAAUUUUCCAAUCAUUUAACUUAAAGAUUCCUAUCUAUAGAUACAUGAGGGUCUGCAUGUACUUUUGUGAUGGCCUGAACCAAGGUUGACUUGAGCAAAAAAGCUGCUCAAGGCCAGUGAUCAUGGUUUAAAUUAUGAAAGUAAUAUAAGCACAUUACAGAUCUUUGGAAAGUUCAGGAAGGAAAAAUAUGUACCCAUGGUUCUACCAUCCAGCAUGGUAUUGUUAAUUAUUUUGUACAUUCCCUUUCUGUCUUUUUACCAGAAGUAUCUUUACAUAGUUUUAAAUGGUCUUCCUCUAAUUUUCAUAGCAUACUAUGACCUUGUAUUACACUUUCCCCUGUGACAUUAGAUCAUAAACAUUUUUCUCAUACAUUUUGUCUUCACGAGCAUCACAUCUAAUGGCUGCAAAAA